UACGGAGGGGGCUAGUGUUGUUCGGAAUUACUGGGCGUAAAGGGCGCGCAGGCGGCUUGGCAAGUCGAGUGUGAAAUCCCUUGGCUUAACUAAGGAAUGGCGCUCGAAACUACCUCGCUAGAGGACGGGAGAGGGAAGUGGAACUCUCGGUGUAGGGGUGAAAUCUGUAGAUAUCGAGAGGAACACCGGUGGCGAAGGCGGCUUCCUGGCCCGUAACUGACGCUGAUGCGCGAAAGCUAGGGGAGCAAACGGG
Molecule: ribosomal RNA, 253 nt
Filed under: uncultured bacterium
Lineage: Bacteria
Description: partial 16S ribosomal RNA
Rfam family: Bacterial small subunit ribosomal RNA
Source: RNAcentral